UUGUGUUCUAGAUUAAUGCAUACAACAUCACAAAAGAUGUUUCUGCUCUGUAUUUUUAGUCUUUUAUCACUCCAUGGAGUCAAGUCAGAUAUUGAACUUACUCAGCCCAGUUCAGAAAUUAGAAAGCCGGGUGACAGCGUGAAGAUGCCCUGUAAAACAUCUGGAUACACCUUUACUAGCUAUUACGUGAACUGGAUUCAACAAGUUCCUGGAAAAGGACUACAGUGGGUGGGAAAAAUUAAUCCUGGCAAUGGGGUCACCAACUAUUUGUCAUCAUUUCAAGGAAGAUUCACAAUCACAACAGAUAAUUCUAUUGCAACAUCAUAUCUGCAGAUAAACAGUUUGAAGUUAGAAGAUACAGCCAGCUAUUACUGUGCAAGAGACACAGUGAUAUACAUGAAGAGUUCUCCGUACAAAAACACUGCUUAUGUCUUCUUACCAGCGGGAAGCAGCAUUUGA
This is a non-coding RNA of Pelobates fuscus (common spadefoot toad), 459 nucleotides long. Lineage: Eukaryota; Metazoa; Chordata; Amphibia; Anura; Pelobatidae. The record is from the annotation of a RefSeq genome assembly.